UAGGCGGGGUAACGGCCCACCUAGGCAACGAUGGGUAGCCGAGCUGAGAGGCUGAACGGCCACACUGGGACUGAGACACGGCCCAGACUCCUACGGGAGGCAGCAGUGGGGAAUAUUGCGCAAUGGGGGAAACCCUGACGCAGCAACGCCGCGUGAAGGAUGAAGGCUUUCGGGUUGUAAACUUCUUUGACAGGGGACGAAGGAAGUGACGGUACCCUGAAAACAAGCCACGGCUAACUACGUGCCAGCAGCCGCGGUAAUACGUAGGGGGCGAGCGUUGUCCGGAAUUACUGGGCGUAAAGGGUGCGUAGGUGGCCUUUUAAGUUGGAAGUGAAAACUCCGGGCUCAACUCGGAUACGGCUCCUGAAACUGGCAGACUUGAGUGCAAAAGAGGGAAGUGGAAUUCCUAGUGUAGCGGUGAAAUGCGUAGAUAUUAGGAGGAACACCAGUGGCGAAGGCGACUUCCUGGCUUGUAACUGACACUGAGGCGCGAAAGCGUGGGGAUCAAACAGGAUUAGAUACCCUGGUAGUCCACGCCGUAAACGAUGAGUGCUAGGUGUCGGGGGUAUCGACCCCCUCGGUGCCACAGCUAACGCAAUAAGCACUCCGCCUGGGGAGUACGGUCGCAAGACUGAAACUCAAAGGAAUUGACGGGGGCCCGCACAAGCGGUGGAGUAUGUGGUUUAAUUCGACGCAACGCGAAGAACCUUACCAAGGCUUGACAUCCCGUGACAGCUGUGGAAACACAGUCUUGCCUUCGGGUGAACACGGAGACAGGUGGUGCAUGGUUGUCGUCAGCUCGUGUCGUGAGAUGUUGGGUUAAGUCCCGCAACGAGCGCAACCCCUACAGCUAGUUGCCAGCACAUAAAGGUGGGAACUCUAGCAGAACUGCCGUUGACAAAACGGAGGAAGGUGGGGAUGACGUCAAAUCAUCAUGCCCCUUAUGUCUUGGGCUACACACGUACUACAAUGGCCUGAACAGAGGGAAGCGAAACUGCGAAGUUAAGCGAACCCCUCAAAUGUAGUCCCAGUUCGGAUCGUGGGCUGCAACCCGCCCACGUGACGUCGGGGUUGCUAGUAAUCGCGGAUCAGCAUGCCGCGGUGAGUACGUUCCCGGGCCUUGUACACACCGCCCGUCAAACCAUGGGAGUUGGGAGCACCCAAAGCCAGCGAGGUAACCGCAAGGAGCCAGCUGUCCAAGGUGAGACCAAUGACUGGGGUGAAGUCGUAACAAGGUAACC
RNAcentral lists this ribosomal RNA (1241 nucleotides) under uncultured bacterium. RNAcentral's name for it is "bacterial SSU rRNA". It matches the Rfam family "Bacterial small subunit ribosomal RNA", at positions 249 to 1501 of the family's 1533-position model. The record is from RNAcentral.